RNAcentral lists this ribosomal RNA (119 nucleotides) under Pteropus alecto (black flying fox). The record is from RNAcentral. Lineage: Eukaryota; Metazoa; Chordata; Mammalia; Chiroptera; Pteropodidae.
GUCUACGGCCAUGCUACCCUAAACAAGCCCGAUCCUGUCUCAUCUCUGAAGCUAAGUACGGUCGGAUCUGGUUAGUACUUGGAUGAGAUACCACCUAGGAAGACCAUGCGCUGUAGGUG